This 493-nucleotide ribosomal RNA is filed under the name uncultured bacterium. RNAcentral describes it as "bacterial SSU rRNA". It matches the Rfam family "Bacterial small subunit ribosomal RNA", at positions 16 to 507 of the family's 1533-position model. The record is from RNAcentral.
AUUCUGGCUCAGAUUGAACGCUGGCGGCAUGCCUUACACAUGCAAGUCGAACGGCGGCGGACCUUCGGGUGCCGGCGAGUGGCGAACGGGUGAGUAAUAUAUCGGAACGUACCUUUCAGUGGGGAUAACGUAGCGAAAGUUACGCUAAUACCGCAUAUUCUGUGAGCAGGAAAGCAGGGGAUCGCAAGACCUUGCGCUGAUUGAGCGGCCGAUAUCAGAUUAGCUAGUUGGUGAGGUAAAGGCUCACCAAGGCGACGAUCUGUAGCGGGUCUGAGAGGAUGAUCCGCCACACUGGAACUGAGACACGGUCCAGACUCCUACGGGAGGCAGCAGUGGGGAAUUUUGGACAAUGGGCGCAAGCCUGAUCCAGCCAUGCCGCGUGAGUGAAGAAGACCUUCGGGUUGUAAAGCUCUUUCGGCCGGGAAGAAAUCGCACAGGUUAAUACCCUGUGUGGAUGACGGUACCGGAAUAAGAAGCACCGGCUAACUACGUG